RNAcentral lists this ribosomal RNA (440 nucleotides) under uncultured bacterium. Its description in RNAcentral is "partial 16S ribosomal RNA". It matches the Rfam family "Bacterial small subunit ribosomal RNA", at positions 338 to 795 of the family's 1533-position model. The record is from RNAcentral.
CCUACGGGAGGCAGCAGUGGGGGAUAUUGCACAAUGGGGGAAACCCUGAUGCAGCGACGCCGCGUGGGUGAAGAAGCGCCUCGGCGCGUAAAGCCCUGUCAGCAGGGAAGAAAAUGACGGUACCUGAAGAAGAAGCCCCGGCUAACUACGUGCCAGCAGCCGCGGGAAUACGUAGGGGGCACGCGUUAGCCGGAUUUACGGGGUGUAAAGGGGGCGCAGACGGCGAUGCAAGCCAGGAGUGAAAGCCCGGGGCCCAACCCCGGGACUGGUCUUGGAACUGGGUGGCUAGAGUGCAGGAGGGGCAGGCGGAAUGCCUGGUGUAGCGGUGAAAUGCGUAGAUAUCAGGAGGAACACCGGUGGCGAAGGCGGCCUGCUGGACUGCAACUGACGUUGAGGCCCGAAAGCGUGGGGAGCAAACAGGAUUAGAUACCCGGGUAGUC